Molecule: ribosomal RNA, 506 nt
Filed under: uncultured bacterium
Lineage: Bacteria
Description: bacterial SSU rRNA
Rfam family: Bacterial small subunit ribosomal RNA
Source: RNAcentral
GCUGGCGGCGUGCCUAAUACAUGCAAGUCGAGCGCAGGAAACAAGUAGAUCCCUUCGGGGUGACGCUUGUGGAAUGAGCGGCGGACGGGUGAGUAACACGUGGGCAACCUACCUUGUAGACUGGGAUAACUCCGGGAAACCGGAGCUAAUACGGGACGAUCAUUUGAAUCGCAUGAUUGAAAUGUAAAAGUGGGGAGUAAUCCUCACACUAUGAGAUGGGCCCGCGGCGCAUUAGCUAGUUGGUAAGGUAAUGGCUUACCAAGGCAACGAUGCGUAGCCGACCUGAGAGGGUGAUCGGCCACACUGGAACUGAGACACGGUCCAGACUCCUACGGGAGGCAGCAGUAGGGAAUCAUCCGCAAUGGGCGAAAGCCUGACGGUGCAACGCCGCGUGAACGAUGAAGGUUUUCGGAUCGUAAAGUUCUGUUAUGAGGGAAGAACAAGUGCCGUUCGAAUAGGGCGGCACCUUGACGGUACCUCACGAGAAAGCCCCGGCUAACUACGUG